This 456-nucleotide ribosomal RNA is filed under the name uncultured bacterium. Its description in RNAcentral is "bacterial SSU rRNA". It matches the Rfam family "Bacterial small subunit ribosomal RNA", at positions 340 to 786 of the family's 1533-position model. The record is from RNAcentral.
UACGGAAGGCAGCAGUGGGGAAUAUUGCACAAUGGGCGAAAGCCUGAUGCAGCUAUGCCGCGUGUAUGAAGAAGGCCUUAGGGUUGUAAAGUACUUUUCAUCGGGGAGGAAAAACAAAACUAAUAAUUUUAUUUCUUGACGUUACCCGAAAAAGAAGCACCGGCUAACUCCGUGCCAGCAGCCGCGGUAAUACGGAGGGUGCUAGCGUUAAUCAGAAUUACUGGGCGUAAAGAGCACGUAGGUGGUUUUUUUAAGUCAGAUGUGAAAUCCCUGGGCUUAACCUAGGAACUGCAUUUUGAAACUGAAAUACUAGAGUAUCGUAGAGGGAGGUAGAAUUCUAGGUGUAGCGGUGAAAUGCGUAGAUAUCUGGAGGAAUACCUGUGGCGAAAGCGGCCUCCUAAACGAAUACUGACACUGAGGUGCGAAAGCGUGGGGAGCAAACAGGGAUUAGAUACC